Molecule: ribosomal RNA, 255 nt
Filed under: Serratia marcescens
Lineage: Bacteria; Pseudomonadati; Pseudomonadota; Gammaproteobacteria; Enterobacterales; Yersiniaceae
Description: partial 16S ribosomal RNA
Rfam family: Bacterial small subunit ribosomal RNA
Source: RNAcentral
CCAGACUCCUACGGGAGGCAGCAGUGGGGAAUAUUGCACAAUGGGCGCAAGCCUGAUGCAGCCAUGCCGCGUGUGUGAAGAAGGCCUUCGGGUUGUAAAGCACUUUCAGCGAGGAGGAAGGUGGUGAGCUUAAUACGUUCAUCAAUUGACGUUACUCGCAGAAGAAGCACCGGCUAACUCCGUGCCAGCAGCCGCGGUAAUACGGAGGGUGCAAGCGUUAAUCGGAAUUACUGGGCGUAAAGCGCACGCAGGCGG